Molecule: ribosomal RNA, 239 nt
Filed under: uncultured bacterium
Lineage: Bacteria
Description: partial 16S ribosomal RNA
Rfam family: Bacterial small subunit ribosomal RNA
Source: RNAcentral
AAGCGAAGCAGUGAUGUGAAGCAAAUCGCNCCAAAGCCGGUCCCAGUUCGGAUAAGAGGCUGAAACUCGCCUCUUUGAAGUCGGAAUCGCUAGUAAUCGCAGAUCAGCAUGUUGCGGUGAAUACGUUCCCGGGUCUUGUACACACCGCCCGUCAAACCAUGAGAGUCACCAACACCCGAAGUCCGCUUUGGCGGCCUAAGGUGGGGGAGAUGAUUGGGGUUAAGUCGUAACAAGGUAUC